AGUCUUCCUUGACUGACCUACCGCCCUCACUGCUGCACCAUGUAUACCCUGAAACAGGUGGUCAACUUCAGACCUGGUCCCACCAAACUACCACACUCAGUGUUAGAGAUACAAAAGGAAUUAUUAGACUACAGAGGAGUUGGCAUUAGUGUUCUUGAAAUGAGUCACAGAUCGUCAGAUUUUGCCAAGAUUAUUAACAAUACAGAGAAUCUUUUGCAGGAAUUGUUAGCCAUUCCAGACAACUAUAAAGUGAUUUUUGUGCAAGGAGGUGGGUCCAGCCAGUUCAGUGCUGUCCCCUUAAACCUGACUGGCUUGGAAGCAGGAAGGUGUGCGGUCUGUGUGGUGACAGGAGCUUGGUCAGCUAAGGCCACAGAAGAAGCCAAGAAGUUUGGGACUAUAAAUAUUGUUCACUCUAAACAAAAAUUCCAGAUCCAAGCACCUAGAACCUCACCCCGUAUGCCUCCUACGUGUAUUACUGUGCAAAUGAGACAGUGCAUGGUGUGGAGUUUGACUUUAUACCUGAUGUCGAGCAGUACUGGUUUGCGACAUGUCCUCAAACUUACUGUCUAAGUCAGUGGAUGUUUCCAAAUUUGGUGUGAUUUUUUUGUGGUGCCCAGAAGAAUGUUGGCUCUGCUGGGGUCACCAUGGUGAUUGUCCAUGAUGACCUGCUGGGGUUUGCCCUCUGAGAGUGCCCCUUGGUCCUGGAAUACAAAGUGCAGGCUAGAAACAGCUCCUUGUACAACACGCCUCCAUAUUUUUACUUCAUGGGCUUUGUCCUGGAGUGGAUUAAAAACAAUGGAGGUGCCAUGGCCAUGGAGAAGCUUAGCUUCAUCAAAUCCUAAAUGAUAUAUGAGAUUAUUAAUAAUUCUCAUGGAUUCUGCGUAUGUCCAGUGGAACCCCAAAAUAGAAACAAGAUGAAUAUUCCAUUCCAUAUUGGCAAUGCCAAAGGAGAUGAUGCUUUAGAAAAAGGAUUUCUUGAUAAAGCUCUUGAACUCAAUAUGUUGUCCUUAAAAGGACAUAGGUCUGUGGGAGACAUCUGGGCCUCUCUGUAUAAUGCUGUCACAAUUGAAUAUGUUUAGAAGAUGGCCGCCUUCAUGAAAAAUUUUUUGGGGAUGUAUCAGCUAUAAACACAUCCUAACCAGAAUAUACUCUGUUCUUGAACAACAUACAAAGUUUAAAGUAACUUGCGGAUGGCUAGAAAAAGUUGACAAACACAGUAUUUUUCUCAAAUGAACAUGGUUAUUAUAGAUUCUUCUUUUUUGGAAGAACAACAGCAAAACAUCUACAGCUCUGCAAAGAUGGUGGAACCUAAUGUUCGCCUUAAUUCUGACUUGAACUGGAAGCAUUUUAAGAAAUCUUCUCAUUGCUUUUCUAACAAAUUCCAGCUUAUUUUUCCUUUGCUGCUACUUUUUCUAGUUAGAUUUCAAACUUGCCUGUGGACUUAGUAAUGCGAGUUGCAAUUAUUUCUGGAGUCAUGGGAACACAGCAUAGAGAGUAGGUGGGGUCCUCUAGGUGCUGAAUGUAGACAUCUGUGGGGUCUCCUGGGUUCAGCGGCUGUUGAUUCAAGGUCAGUAUUGACCAUUGGGGGAGUGGUUUCAGAGUACCAGGCAAAGGGCAAACUGUAGAUCCAUCUUUAUACUGUUAUUACAAGAGAAGUGACAUAUUUUAUAUAUGUUUAUAUUAGCAAGGUCUGUUUUUAAUACUAUAUAUUUCUAUGCAUUUAUAUUUCUAAUAAUAGAGUUAUCACUGAUACGUGUAGAGACUUUUAGAACUUAUAAAUCCUUGACCUUGUGCAUUAUAGCAUUCCAUUAGCAACAGUUGCACCAGCUCCCUAGUCUUCCCCUUCUUCUUUUUAAACUGUUUUAUGAAAAAAAAGCGAGAAGUUCUUGAUUCAUUUUUACUGUUUUUUCCAUAGGUAGAAGAGAAAGUUGAUUGGUUGGUUGUUUUUUUAAUUAUGCCAUUAAACUAAAC
RNA transcript from Cebus imitator (Panamanian white-faced capuchin), 1971 nucleotides. It is a transcript of the gene named phosphoserine aminotransferase-like, with no coding region annotated. The transcript has a single exon. Lineage: Eukaryota; Metazoa; Chordata; Mammalia; Primates; Cebidae. The record is from RefSeq and is a predicted model, not a curated record.